GAUGAACGCUGGCGGCGUGCCUAAUACAUGCAAGUCGAGCGAACAGAUAAGGAGCUUGCUCCUUUGACGUUAGCGGCGGACGGGUGAGUAACACGUGGGUAACCUACCUAUAAGACUGGGAUAACUUCGGGAAACCGGAGCUAAUACCGGAUAACAUUUGGAACCGCAUGGUUCUAAAGUGAAAGAUGGUUUUGCUAUCACUUAUAGAUGGACCCGCGCCGUAUUAGCUAGUUGGUAAGGUAACGGCUUACCAAGGCGACGAUACGUAGCCGACCUGAGAGGGUGAUCGGCCACACUGGAGCUGAGACACGGUCCAGACUCCUACGGGAGGCAGCAGUAGGGAAUCUUCCGCAAUGGGCGAAAGCCUGACGGAGCAACGCCGCGUGAGUGAUGAAGGGGUUCGGCUCGUAAAACUCUGUUAUUAGGGAAGAACAAACGUGUAAGUAACUGUGCACGUCUUGACGGUACCUAAUCAGAAAGCCACGGCUAACUACGUG
Molecule: ribosomal RNA, 497 nt
Filed under: uncultured bacterium
Lineage: Bacteria
Description: partial 16S ribosomal RNA
Rfam family: Bacterial small subunit ribosomal RNA
Source: RNAcentral